GGUUCGCUAACAAUUUAAAUAACUUUUAAAAAUUGGCUUUUUUCUAAACGAACUUAUUCAGAUUAAUCAGUCGAAUAUACUAGCAGAUUAGCUCACGAUGAGGACACUAAAGAUAAUUUCGUUUCAUUUGAUACUUCCGUUCGUAUGUUCGUUCGACUUGCAGUGCGAAUGGAACUUUGUAAACCAAAAAGCAUGUCUUGUAAGAAAUUUAAAUGUUACAAGUCCCGACCAAGUCGUGAAGAGCGUUAACGGUCACACUACCACAGUACUGGAAGAUGUUUUUGGUUUUUGGGUUAAAAAUCAGACAUGCCACUACAUUCCUCAGAACAUUGCCACAUUCAUGCCAAAUUUGAAGUGGUUGGAAUUCGAAGAUUCAGGUCUGAGAAGAUUAUCGAAAUUUGACCUUGCACCAUUUACCAAAUUGA
Molecule: long non-coding RNA, 425 nt
Organism: Bradysia coprophila
Lineage: Eukaryota; Metazoa; Arthropoda; Insecta; Diptera; Sciaridae
Source: RefSeq, a predicted model, not a curated record